This 429-nucleotide ribosomal RNA is filed under the name Actinomycetes bacterium. Its description in RNAcentral is "Actinobacteria bacterium partial 16S ribosomal RNA". It matches the Rfam family "Bacterial small subunit ribosomal RNA", at positions 355 to 776 of the family's 1533-position model. The record is from RNAcentral. Lineage: Bacteria; Bacillati; Actinomycetota; Actinomycetes.
UAGGGAAUCUUCCGCAAUGGGCGAAAGCCUGACGGAGCAACGCCGCGUGAGUGAUGAAGGUCUUCGGAUCGUAAAACUCUGUCAUUAGGGAAGAACAAAUGCGUAAGCAACUAUGCACGUCUUGACGGUACCUAAUCAGAAAGCCACGGCUAACUACGUGCCAGCAGCCGCGGUAAUACGUAGGUGGCAAGCGUUAUCCGGAACUAUUGGGCGUAAAGCGCGCGUAGGCGGUUUUUUAAGUCUGAUGUGAAAGACCACGGCUCAACCGUGGAGGGUCAUUGGAGUCUGGAAAACUUGAGUGCAGAAGAGGAAAGUGGAAUUCCAUGUGUCGCGGUGAAAUGCGCAGAGAUAUGGAGGACCACCAGUGACGAAGGCGACUUUCUGGUCUGUAACUGACGCAGAUGUGCGAAAGCGGGGGGAUCAAACAGG